This is a long non-coding RNA of Eucalyptus grandis, 1913 nucleotides long. RefSeq lists it as uncharacterized. The record is from RefSeq and is a predicted model, not a curated record. The transcript is spliced from 3 exons. NCBI's taxonomy places the organism in Eukaryota, Viridiplantae, Streptophyta, Magnoliopsida, Myrtales, Myrtaceae.
CCAAGUUCAAAACAUUCACGUCCACUCUGUUUCUCCUGCAGAGAACACGAGAUGGAAGACAGGGCAAAAGCUGCACCGCGUUUGCCAGCAGGAUUUGAAGUCGAAGCCCAUCACCGGAGGAAUUGUCGAUCAUUACUUGUAGCUGAAGGAACGAGCUACUUGGCAGUACUCCGAUCGCUCAUGGCUUCUAACCGGAGCAUGCAGGCAAGGGUGAUGCAUGAAUAUCACCUAAAUACCAGUCCUCUUUAGUACACUUCAGGAGGCCAGUGAUAUCGUUCUUGGCCUUUUGGAUGUAUGCAGAAUGAGAAGACGAUCUAUGUAUCUCUAAUACUUUGUUGAAUCAAGACCGAUCCAAGCGAAUGAAGACACUUGCGAAGCCAUAUUCAAGUUAGGUUUCUACGUGCUUAAUGUGGAUUCACGAUAAGCUUCGUGUAUUAGAAAUAAAAUCUUCUUUCUUACUGAGAAGUCCUUUCACUUGAAUUUGCUGUAUUUAUCUUUUCGGAGCUCGUGGUCCAUCCAAAUUCCAUGUAUGAUGGCCAGAUUUAUGACCUUUUAUUGGAAGGAUGGCUCGUCCGAAACAUAAAUAACCAGCUAGAAGUGUAAGUGGACUCUACUUAAUGGAAGUAGUAACUGGAAAAAGAGUACAUUAAAUUUUUGCUCUAUUAAUUUGCUUUGCCUCUUUACUGAGUGUGAGUUUGCCUCUUUACUGAGUGUGAGAGUUGAACUUCAUAUUUAGGAAUAUAUUUUUUAAAUUAUUCAUUUUUUAUGAAAUAAAUGGAGUCUUAAUACCUUAUAAUACUCUUCUAGCAUCACUUUUAAACUACUUUUAUAAUUUAAUUUUGUAUACUCGCCGUUGGUCCUUUGAUUUGAGUACAUUCUAAAAGUGCUUCUUCUAAACUCUAGAAUGUAAAAAUGUGGGGUAUUCAUAGGGAUGAGGGAAGAAAAAAAUUCUCAUUAAUUGGGAAGGGCAUAACGUACGGAUACUGACACGUUAAAAUAAGGAACGCAUCCAGAUUGGUACUAAGUUAUCUAACUACCGUUGAAAGCUUUUAUCGAGAGCUUGCUUUAUGCUAGUUAGACACGUGCUUCUCGUAGUUUCUAGAAUCGGCACAUCUAACCAGGAAAAUAAAUGGGUAUGACGUCAUUGACAAAGAUGGAGAAAAUAAAAAAUGAUAGGUAAAGUAACCACCAGAAAAAUUGGGGAAAGGUCUAAAAAAGUAAGCCAUCAACUUCCACAGCAAGUUCUUGAUAAAAAAGAACUUCCACAGCAAGUGGUCGGACUUGAGAAAUUAGUCCAACGAAUAAACAGAAGCCAGACAAUACAACUUCCCAUGCAAGGUAAAGCAAAGCCCGUCAGUCGAAGCUCAGGCAGGACACCAACUCGAAGCAAGUGCAGUAUAAAUUCAUCUUCUCACGCAGGUUGAACAUCAAAGAUAUCUCCAGACAAGUCCGAAACAUUCAUGUCCGCUCUGUUUCUCCUGCAGAGCACACGAGAUGGAAGACAGCGCGGUAGCUGCGCAGCAUUUGCCAGCGGGAUUUGGAGUCAAAGCCAGUCACCAGUGGAAUCUUCCAUCAUUACUUGAAGCUAAAAGAGCGAGCUCCGUGGCGGUACCCCAAUCACUCCUGGUUUCUAUCAGGAACAAACGAGCAAGGAUCACCACCUAAAGGCCGAUCCUCUUUAGUACACUUCUGGAGGCCAGAGAUAUUGUUCUUGACCUUUUGAAGAUAUGCGAAAUGAGAAGACGAUCCACGUAUUUCUGAUACGUUGCUGAAUCAAGACCGAUCCAAGCGAAUGAAGACACUCGAGAAGCCGUAGUCAAGUUGGGUUUUCACGUGCUUGAUGUGGAUUCACGAUAAUCUUCGUGUAUUAUAAAUAAAAUCUUCUUUCUUAUUGAGAAGUCUUUUCAUUUUAA